UACGUAGGGCGCAAGCGUUUGUCCGGAAUUAUUGGGCGUAAAGAGCUCGUAGGCGGUCUGUCACGUCUGCCGUGAAAAACCCGAGGCUUAACCUCGUGGCUUGCGGUGGAUACGGGCAGACUAGAGGUAGGUAGGGGAGAACGGAAUUCCCGGUGUAGCGGUGAAAAUGCGCAGAUAUCGGGAGGAACACCGGUGGCGAAGGCGGUUCUCUGGGCCUUACCUGACGCUGAGGAGCGAAAGCAUGGGGAGCGAACAGG
This 257-nucleotide ribosomal RNA is filed under the name uncultured bacterium. RNAcentral describes it as "partial 16S ribosomal RNA". It matches the Rfam family "Bacterial small subunit ribosomal RNA", at positions 524 to 776 of the family's 1533-position model. The record is from RNAcentral.